Molecule: unclassified non-coding RNA, 253 nt
Filed under: uncultured Paenibacillaceae bacterium
Lineage: Bacteria; Bacillati; Bacillota; Bacilli; Caryophanales; Paenibacillaceae
Description: contains 16S-23S intergenic spacer region
Rfam family: Bacterial small subunit ribosomal RNA
Source: RNAcentral
UACGUAGGGGGCAAGCGUUGUCCGGAAUUAUUGGGCGUAAAGCGCGCGCAGGCGGUGAAUUAAGUCUGAUGUGAAAGACCAGGGCUCAACCUUGGAACGGCAUUGGAAACUGGUUGACUUGAGUGCAGAAGAGGAGAGUGGAAUUCCACGUGUAGCGGUGAAAUGCGUAGAGAUGUGGAGGAACACCAGUGGCGAAGGCGACUCUCUGGGCUGUAACUGACGCUGAGGCGCGAAAGCGUGGGGAGCAAACAGG